This 75-nucleotide transfer RNA is filed under the name Cadophora sp. DSE1049. Its description in RNAcentral is "tRNA-Ile". The stretch from base 8 to 68 matches the Rfam family "tRNA", at positions 7 to 64 of the family's 71-position model. From Rfam's summary of the family: Transfer RNA (tRNA) molecules are approximately 80 nucleotides in length. Their secondary structure includes four short double-helical elements and three loops (D, anti-codon, and T loops). Lineage: Eukaryota; Fungi; Ascomycota; Leotiomycetes; Helotiales; Ploettnerulaceae. The record is from RNAcentral.
GAUACAGUUAGCUCAGUUGGUUAGAGCGUGGUGCUAAUAACGCCAAGGUCGCGAGUUCGACCCUCGUAGUGAUCA